Molecule: long non-coding RNA, 1194 nt
Filed under: Oryctolagus cuniculus (rabbit)
Lineage: Eukaryota; Metazoa; Chordata; Mammalia; Lagomorpha; Leporidae
Description: lncRNA (ENSOCUG00000038976.1)
Source: RNAcentral
AUGUCCCAGUGCCAGGACUCUGGGGGGCUCGGGGCAUGCUCCGGCCUGGAUCGAGCCGGCCUCCUUUUGCCCCUGCCCUUUUCUGCUCACAGCCUCAUUGUCUCUCUCCAGGGGAAGCUGCCAAAGAGGGAGGCCUGGCCCGGGGUUUGUGGGGGGGGGGAGUUGGGGGGUUGGCCACCCCACCCCCACCCUACCCCACCCUGGAGCUUGGAGGGGGCCCACACAGGGUCAGGGCCCCCAGAUGAAGCCAGGGUAGGAAAGGGUGGUAGCUGGGAGACCUGGGUGCCAGCAGAAGGAAGCCUGGCUUCUUUCUCUGCCUCCCUGCGGGGCCAGACGGCGGCCAUGGCCAUCCCGGGCCUCUGGUUCCUGUUUCCUGUCCAUAAGCGAAGCGGGGGUGGGGGUGAAGGGCAAGAUGGGCUGGGCAAGGGAGGGGGUCUGGGUGGUGUUUUCCCCAGUGGAACAAGGGGAGGGCGAGUUUCUUUCAUAGAAAAUAUAAAACAGAAAGAGGAGAGAGGAAGAGGGAAGAAGGGAGAUGGAUUCGGCUGUUCUAUGGGAGCGAGUUAUUUUCUACAUCCUCUGAUUGGAGGUAUAAAUAAAGAUGGGUCAGACGUGGGGAAGAACUUCCUGGGGGCGGGCGGGGGGAGCAGAGCUGAGGGGGUGGAGCUGGCGAUGGGGAAGCGACAGCUUCUCUCUGUGUGUGCCUCACUCUCUAGACUGUCAGGGCCGGAGCACUGGCUGGAUCGCCUAGAGGCAGGGGGCUGGACCAGGCGACCUCAGGACAGCCCGACCAGUAUCUUGGAAUCUGGAAUUCUUCGAUUCACAAAGAUAGGGUCCCAGUUGGGAGAGACACAGAGAGGCUGCACUGGCGGGGAGGAGGAGUUGGGGGAAGAAGAGAGUGGAAGGGAAGUCUCUCUGGGAGCUGCAGGCAGGUCCCUGAGCCGAUUCCCAGGCCUGGGAGACCCCCUCCAGGUCCCCCCUUUCCCGACCAGGACAGCCCAUUCAGUCACGGGUCCUGGGGUCCUCUCGGCUCCCGGCCUGGCUGCAGCGGGCUGCUACAGGUUCAGCUGCUCCAGCUCGGGAGCUCUGGCCUGGCCCGUGUUCUCUGAGAUCCAGAGAUUUCAGGGAACAGCCUGCAAGGUCCAGGCUGAAGUGGGGGUGGGAGGCAGGGGCCCAGGGGGUGGCAAGAAACCGUAG